UACAUUUUGGUGUAUGAUGCACCCAAAUUUUUGAUAUUUGUGGGAAUAGUUUAACUCUAUUGAAUGUAA
Molecule: transfer RNA, 69 nt
Filed under: Panchlora nivea
Lineage: Eukaryota; Metazoa; Arthropoda; Insecta; Blattodea; Blaberidae
Description: tRNA-Gln
Source: RNAcentral